Molecule: ribosomal RNA, 497 nt
Filed under: uncultured bacterium
Lineage: Bacteria
Description: partial 16S ribosomal RNA
Rfam family: Bacterial small subunit ribosomal RNA
Source: RNAcentral
GAUGAACGCUGGCGGCGUGCCUAAUACAUGCCAGUCGAGCGAACGGACGAGAAGCUUGCUUCUCUGAUGUUAGCGGCGGACGGGUGAGUAACACGUGGAUAACCUACCUAUAAGACUGGGAUAACUUCGGGAAACCGGAGCUAAUACCGGAUGAUAUUUUGAACCGCAUGGUUCAAAAGUGAAAGACGGUCUUGCUGUCACUUAUAGAUGGAUCCGCGCUGCAUUAGCUAGUUGGUAAGGUAACGGCUUACCAAGGCAACGAUGCAUAGCCGACCUGAGAGGGUGAUCGGCCACACUGGAACUGAGACACGGUCCAGACUCCUACGGGAGGCAGCAGUAGGGAAUCUUCCGCAAUGGGCGAAAGCCUGACGGAGCACCGCCGCGUGAGUGAUGAAGGUCUUCGGAUCGUAAAACUCUGUUAUUAGGGAAGAACAUAUGUGUAAGUAACUGUGCACAUCUUGACGGUACCUAAUCAGAAAGCCACGGCUAACUACGUG